This 292-nucleotide ribosomal RNA is filed under the name uncultured bacterium. RNAcentral's name for it is "partial 16S ribosomal RNA". It matches the Rfam family "Archaeal small subunit ribosomal RNA", at positions 455 to 747 of the family's 1478-position model. The record is from RNAcentral.
GUGCCAGCCGCGCGGUAAUACCGGCAGCCCGAGUGAUGGCCGAUCUUAUUGGGCCUAAAGCGUCCGUAGCUGGCUGCGCAAGUCCGUCGGGAAAUCCACUCGCCCAACGAGUGGGCGUCCGACGGAAACUGCGUGGCUUGGGACCGGAAGGCGCGACGGGUACGUCCGGGGUAGGAGUGAAAUCCCGUAAUCCUGGACGGACCGCCGAUGGCGAAAGCACUUCGAGAAAACGGAUCCGACAGUGAGGGACGAAAGCCAGGGUCUCCAACCGGAUUAGAAACCCUAGUAGUCC